Molecule: ribosomal RNA, 420 nt
Filed under: uncultured eukaryote
Lineage: Eukaryota
Description: SSU rRNA
Rfam family: Eukaryotic small subunit ribosomal RNA
Source: RNAcentral
CAAUAGCGUAUAUUAAAGUUGUUGCGGUUAAAAAGCUCGUAGUUGGAUUUCUGUCGAAGACGGUCGGUCCGCUCUAUGAGCGAGUAUCUGAUUCGGCUUUGGCAUCCUCGUGGGGAACGUAACUGUGCUUGAUUGCAUGGUGCGGAAUUCACGACUUUUUACUUUGAGGAAAUUAGAGUGUUCACGGCAGGCAAGCGCCUUUGAAUAUAUUAGCAUGGAAUAAUACUAUAGGAUCUUGGUUCUAUUUUGUUGGUUUCUAGAAUUGAGAUAAUGAUUAAUAGGGACAAUUGGGGGCAUUCGUAUCAACACGUCAGAGGUGGAAUUCUUGGAUUGUGUUGCGACGAACUACUGCGAAAGCAUUUGCCAAGGAUGUUUUUCAUUGAUCAAGAACGAAAGUAAGGGGAUCGAAGAUGAUCAGAU